UGAGCCCAUGAUAGAGUGAAUGCCUGCGGU
RNAcentral lists this non-coding RNA (30 nucleotides) under Mus musculus (house mouse). The record is from RNAcentral. Lineage: Eukaryota; Metazoa; Chordata; Mammalia; Rodentia; Muridae.